UACGGAGGGGGCUAGCGUUGUUCGGAAUUACUGGGCGUAAAGCGCACGUAGGCGGCUUUGUAAGUUAGAGGUGAAAGCCCGGGGCUCAACUCCGGAAUUGCCUUUAAGACUGCAUCGCUAGAAUUGUGGAGAGGUAAGUGGAAUUCCGAGUGUAGCGGUGAAAUUCGUAGAUAUUCGGAAGAACACCAGUGGCGAAGGCGACUCGCUGGACAAGUAUUGACGCUGAGGUGCGAAAGCGUGGGGAGCAAACAGG
This 253-nucleotide ribosomal RNA is filed under the name uncultured bacterium. RNAcentral describes it as "partial 16S ribosomal RNA". It matches the Rfam family "Bacterial small subunit ribosomal RNA", at positions 524 to 776 of the family's 1533-position model. The record is from RNAcentral.